Molecule: ribosomal RNA, 575 nt
Filed under: Loma embiotocia
Lineage: Eukaryota; Fungi; Microsporidia; Glugeidae
Description: SSU rRNA
Rfam family: Microsporidia small subunit ribosomal RNA
Source: RNAcentral
UCGAGUAGGGCCCUGGGGAGAGUACACGCGCAAGCGAGAAAUUUAAAGGAAAUUGACGGAAGAACACCACAAGGAGUGGAGUGUGCGGCUUAAUUUGACUCAACGCGGGACAACUUACCGGGCCCGACGACCGUAAGAGUGUAACACACGAUAGGUCGAAGAGUGGUGCAUGGCCGUUAACGACGAGUGGAGUGAUCUUUGGGUUAAGUCCGUAAAUUAGUGAGACCUCAGCCGUAAGGGACAGGUGCGCAAAGCACAGGAAGGAUGGGUCAAGGACAGGUCAGUGAUGCCCUUAGAUGGUCCGGGCUGCACGCGCACUACAGUGGUCGCCGGAAUURCCUGAUAAUUAUAAAGGCGAUCGAGAGGGAAUGAGCUUUGUAAGAGGCUCAGGAACGAGGAAUUGCUAGUAAUCGCGGACUCAUUAAGACGCGAUGAAUACGUCCCUGUUCUUUGUACACACCGCCCGUCGUUAUCGAAGAUGAAGACAGGCGCGAACGAUCUACCAGAAAGUGAGCGCAGGUCUUUAGAUCUGAUACAAGUCGUAACAAGGUAGCUGUAGGAGAACCUGUAGCUGG